RNAcentral lists this ribosomal RNA (450 nucleotides) under uncultured bacterium. RNAcentral's name for it is "bacterial SSU rRNA". It matches the Rfam family "Bacterial small subunit ribosomal RNA", at positions 354 to 796 of the family's 1533-position model. The record is from RNAcentral.
GUGGGGAAUUUUGGACAAUGGGGGCAACCCUGAUCCAGCAAUGCCGCGUGUGUGAAGAAGGCCUUCGGGUUGUAAAGCACUUUUGUCCGGGAAGAAAUCGCACCUGAUAAUACCGGGUGUGGAUGACGGUACCGGAAGAAUAAGGACCGGCUAACUACGUGCCAGCAGCCGCGGUAAUACGUAGGGUCCAAGCGUUAAUCGGAAUUACUGGGCGUAAAGCGUGCGCAGGCGGUUGUGCAAGACCGAUGUGAAAUCCCCGGGCUUAACCUGGGAAUUGCAUUGGUGACUGCACGGCUAGAGUGUGUCAGAGGGGGGUAGAAUUCCACGUGUAGCAGUGAAAUGCGUAGAGAUGUGGAGGAAUACCGAUGGCGAAGGCAGCCCCCUGGGAUAACACUGACGCUCAUGCACGAAAGCGUGGGGAGCAAACAGGAUUAGAUACCCGAGUAGUCC